Molecule: unclassified non-coding RNA, 156 nt
Filed under: uncultured Mycosphaerellaceae
Lineage: Eukaryota; Fungi; Ascomycota; Dothideomycetes; Mycosphaerellales; Mycosphaerellaceae
Description: sequence contains ITS2
Source: RNAcentral
CACCACUCAAGCCUCGCUUGGUAUUGGGCGAUGAGACACCCCUCACGCCUCAAUUUCGCCGGCUGGACCGACUGGAUUCUAGCGUUGUGACAUCAAAUCUCGCUGAGAAAACAGAGGUUCGCGGCCGCAAAUAACCCGGACGGAAGUCCACCAAGG